GCCAAAUCUAAAAGGUAAUAGACCUAUGUUGCUAAGGUAACUGAAAAGUCCAAGUUUGGGUUUGCAGAACUAACAAAACCAAUAAGAGUUGAAUUCUAUACAUCAAAGAAAUUUGCUGCAGUUUAGUAACUAAUGAACCCUAUUUUCAACAACUGUACCUUGAAUUUGUCAACAGGAGUCUUGGAAGAAAAGUUAACAUGGAUGGCAAUCAUCCACAUAGCAUUCCUCUUUAUUAAAAAUUCUCAUGGAUGCUUGGUCUCAAAUAAGACAUGAAAUUGGUGAUUUCUCCUCUUUCUCCUGAUUUGCACAGACCUUCCCUUUGAGAUCCACAGAUGUACAAUUGACAUGCUACAAUUAAGUCUUUUAAAAUACUGAUUUCAAAUCUGAAUUCUCACCUUGAAGUGUGUCAGUGGAAAGUUGUAUUUCCCCACUCUUUGCUUGCUUAUAGGCCACACUUUCAUUACUAAAUAACUCACACUAACAUACCCACCUACCUGCACCUGAAAUUUGAGCAUGUCCAUCCCAAAACCUGUCUACAAACUAUUGGGGCAUCUUGCAGGCUAAGUAUGUGC
This 572-nucleotide long non-coding RNA is filed under the name Mus caroli (Ryukyu mouse). RNAcentral describes it as "predicted gene 28189 (MGP_CAROLIEiJ_G0004472.1)". Lineage: Eukaryota; Metazoa; Chordata; Mammalia; Rodentia; Muridae. The record is from RNAcentral.